RNAcentral lists this ribosomal RNA (201 nucleotides) under uncultured prokaryote. RNAcentral describes it as "partial 16S ribosomal RNA". It matches the Rfam family "Bacterial small subunit ribosomal RNA", at positions 524 to 724 of the family's 1533-position model. The record is from RNAcentral.
UACAGAGGUCCCAAGCGUUGUUCGGAUUCACUGGGCGUAAAGGGUGCGUAGGUGGCCAGGUAAGUCUGAUUUGAAAUCUCGGAGCUCAACUCCGAAACUGCAUUGGAUACUAUCUGGCUCGAGGAUCGGAGGGGAGACUGGAAUUCUUGGUGUAGCAGUGAAAUGCGUAGAUAUCAAGAGGAACACCAGUGGCGAAGGCGA